RNAcentral lists this ribosomal RNA (527 nucleotides) under uncultured bacterium. Its description in RNAcentral is "bacterial SSU rRNA". It matches the Rfam family "Bacterial small subunit ribosomal RNA", at positions 29 to 518 of the family's 1533-position model. The record is from RNAcentral.
ACGAACGCUGGCGGCGUGCCUAAUACAUGCAAGUCGAGCGCGGGAAGCGGACUCGUCACCCGUCGGGGUGUCUAGUCCGUGGAACGAGCGGCGGGAUGGGUGAAUAUCACGUGGGCAACCUGCCUGUAGGAUUGGGAUAACUCGCGGAAACGUGAGCUAAUACCGAAUGAAGUCUUUCACCACCUGGUGAAAGGAUGAAAGAUGGCUUUUAGCUAUCACUUACAGAUGGGCCCGCGGCGCAUUAGCUAGUUGGUGGGGUAAAGGCCUACCAAGGCGACGAUGCGUAGCCGACCUGAGAGGGUGAUCGGCCACACUGGGACUGAGACACGGCCCAGACUCCUACGGGAGGCAGCAGUAGGGAAUCUUCCGCAAUGGACGAAAGUCUGACGGAGCAACGCCGCGUGAGUGAUGAAGGUCUUCGGAUCGUAAAACUCUGUUGCCAGGGAAGAACAAGUUGUGUUCUAACAGGACAUGACCUUGACGGUACCUGACCAGAAAGCCCCGGCUAACUACGUGCCAGCCGCUGC